GUAUUCGGCUGCCUGCCUGCCUGCCUGCUUGCUCUCUGGCUGUGCUCUUGCUUAAAGAAAUCAGUCCUUCCUUUCCGACUUAGUCCUCGGGAAGAAGUUUCAGACUACAAGGUUUAACAAUUAAUUCUUUAAAACAUUGGUUCAAUUGUGGCACACCGACCUCUCCUGUUGGCCAGAAACUUAUAGGG
This 188-nucleotide small RNA is filed under the name Pongo abelii (Sumatran orangutan). Its description in RNAcentral is "processed transcript". Lineage: Eukaryota; Metazoa; Chordata; Mammalia; Primates; Hominidae. The record is from RNAcentral.